AUGAACGCUGGCGGCGUGCCUCAUACCUGCAAGUCGAGCGAACGGACGAGAAGCUUGCUUCUCUGAUGUUAGCGGCGGACGGGUGAGUAACACGUGGAUAACCUACCUAUAAGACUGGGAUAACUUCGGGAAACCGGAGCUAAUACCGGAUAAUAUUUUGAACCGCAUGGUUCAAAAGUGAAAGACGGUCUUGCUGUCACUUAUAGAUGGAUCCGCGCUGCAUUAGCUAGUUGGUAAGGUAACGGCUUACCAAGGCAACGAUGCAUAGCCGACCUGAGAGGGUGAUCGGCCACACUGGAACUGAGACACGGUCCAGACUCCUACGGGAGGCAGCAGUAGGGAAUCUUCCGCAAUGGGCGAAAGCCUGACGGAGCAACGCCGCGUGAGUGAUGAAGGUCUUCGGAUCGUAAAACUCUGUUAUUAGGGAAGAACAUAUGUGUAAGUAACUGUGCACAUCUUGACGGUACCUAAUCAGAAAGCCACGGCUAACUACGUG
Molecule: ribosomal RNA, 496 nt
Filed under: uncultured bacterium
Lineage: Bacteria
Description: partial 16S ribosomal RNA
Rfam family: Bacterial small subunit ribosomal RNA
Source: RNAcentral